Molecule: ribosomal RNA, 305 nt
Filed under: uncultured bacterium
Lineage: Bacteria
Description: bacterial SSU rRNA
Rfam family: Bacterial small subunit ribosomal RNA
Source: RNAcentral
CCUACGGGGCGCAGCAGUGAGGAAUAUUGGUCAAUGGGCGGGAGCCUGAACCAGCCAAGUCGCGUGAGGGAAGACGGUCCUAUGGAUUGUAAACCUCUUUUGUCGGGGAGCAAAGAGGCCACGUGUGGUCAAAAGCGAGAGUACCCGAAGAAAAAGCAUCGGCUAACUCCGUGCCAGCAGCCGCGGUAAUACGGAGGAUGCGAGCGUUAUCCGGAUUUAUUGGGUUUAAAGGGUGCGUAGGCGGAUUUUUAAGUCAGCGGUAAAAUGUCCGGGCUCAACCCGGGCCAGCCGUUGAAACUGGGGAU